Molecule: long non-coding RNA, 2340 nt
Organism: Zea mays
Lineage: Eukaryota; Viridiplantae; Streptophyta; Magnoliopsida; Poales; Poaceae
Exons: 3
Source: RefSeq, a predicted model, not a curated record
AAUUUUCAGCCGCCAGCAACCUUUCUUCCUCCCACGCAUAGCAGCCAGCGCGCAGGGAGCUUCCCUGUCCAUGGCGUCUCCUCCCCUUCCUCGAGCAAGCUCCAGCGUGCGCGGGGGGGGGGGGGGGGGGCAGCAACCUCGACGGUCGGCCUCUCUCCCCUGCUGUCGCUCGCCCUACAGGGAUGGAGAGCAGCCGUGCGCUCCCUGCAGGCAAGCAGAACCUCCAGCCGAGCGCGCUCCCUGUCCUUCUCCUGGGCGUGUCCCCUGCUCCACGGCCAGCAGCAAGCCAGCGCCCCUGCAGCAAGGCACCCUCUUCUUCUCCCUGGCCGCCCUGCUCUCUGAUCCAUGGCGCCCAGAAAAUUCCAGCCGGCUCCCCCUUCUUCUUCCUCCAGCCAGCAGCUCGUCCACCUCUCUCUCCCAUGGCAUUUCCCCCUGCGAGUAGCGCUUUCUCCGUUGUCUUCAACCUCCGGUCGCUCCCAUCUCCCUGCAGCACCCUGUCCAUUUUUUUUCACCCAGCCGAUUCCCUCUACUGUCCAAGGCGCGGGCGCUAUUUUCCCAUGGCCGAGCAGCCCCUCGCAGCGAGCUUCUCCUUUUCCCCAGCGCUGCACAGCUCCUCCACGGUGAAACGCCGCUGUUCCUGCAGCCCCAACACCUCCCCUUGCUUCCUCGCUGCCAGCGCUGCGCGCGUGCCACGUGCUCGGCAAACUGUCCAAGUGGGGUGUUGCGCAGCGAACAGCACGUCGGGAUGCUCGUCGGGUGUUUGCUGUUUUUGCGCAGUGAACAGCACGCCAUCGACGCUCAUCGAGUGUUUGCUGUUUUUUUUUGCGCAGCCCCAACAUCAUCGUCGUUCACCCCGGAGAUAACCCCGUGUUUUGCGUGGAGAAGGCAAGCCGCUCGACGCUCGUCGAUGUCGUAGCGAUGCACAAAUCGGAAUCACCGUCGUUCUUGCAAACGCUGAUUGGGUUUGUUUAUGGACCGAGAGAUGGUGAUCGUGCACGUGAUAUGGUGCCAACCACAGGAUGCCGUUGGUGGACGACCCAAGGAAGGAUGGACGUAACCAGUGGAUGCUCGCCAAGCGAGUACCUCCCCAGCAAACACUGUCUAAGUGUUAAAUUAAAGGCAAGCCCCGGUUUUAUGCAUAACCGUUAUAUAUGCUAUUUUACUGCACUUAAUGUUUGUAGGCUUGUACUGUGCACUUAAGUGUAGGAGUUAACUGAAACCCUAGUUGCAUGAACUCAGGAUUCCUAUUGAGAUGAAUACUAGUAUGCUAGGUCGAGUAGCUGCUUAUUUAAUUAGGAUCUCGGUAGAAGUCGAGUGAUUUUUCUAGCACUCGCGCGAGGUCAGGACAUUGAUUGUACCCACUUUCAUAUCGUACUAAUGUUGGUUUGUGGGCAACAAUCCAUGGGGAUUGGUUGUUCACGGGAUGAAAAUUUGAAUAAGGAUUAAGGUGUGGUACCGUGAGUCAAGCGUUUGAACGUACUAAGCACAUGCCGAGAAAUAUGGUAAAUCGGUAAGCCUAGUACCUGAUUGAACCUGGCAGUGGACUUUACCCCUCACGCGACCUGAGACGAGGUCUCCCAUUCCGGUUAUGGUGGGUACAAGUGCGGUCACUGCACGACGGCCAGUCGGGGUCAGUGAGGCAUUGUACGCCAAGGCGGUGAGCCCUGAUCUGCUGACGGGGAAUCGAUGGGGACAGUUGAUAUGUGUAGGGACGGAGUGCCCCUACAUGUCGUGUGUUUAGGUUUACCUUGCAAGGAUAAAAACUCGAUUCGAAUCGUCUGCUUCUCGCAGCUAAUGAGACUGCUUGAUCCAUGCUGCUACAUUGAGUAAUAAGUGGAAAUGAGGUGACUGGCAAAAGAUGUUGUUUGAUAAAAUGUUUGAUACCAUGUAUGAAUAGCUAGGUACACAUCUAGUUUAAAAAGGAUUAUACUAAAACUUGAAAAGCUAAAACUUGAUUUUAGACUCAGCUAGUGCUUUUGGCAACCAAACCCCACAGCCAAACAGCUGCAUGUCUAGAGGUAGAGGAGUAGACUCCUCACACCGGGUAAGUCUAGCUGAGUAUUAGUAUACUCAGCCUUGCUUGUGGCAUAAUUUUUGCAGGUACCCUUAGGAUGAUUGGUUGAUGGUGUGACUUAGCCUCCAUCCCUGCCACCGGGAUAGAUGGUCGAGUGGGUUACCGCUUCCGCAGGAGAGGACCAGGAGGAGUAGCGUGGCCAGGCUUCGCCAUGUUACUCGGGUUUUCUCCGUUAGUUAUUUCCGCUGCAUUAAAAUUUAUGGUUAUUAUUUCUGAAACUCCGAUAAUGUAAUCACUAAUGGUACUUCUUAAAUUUGUGGUAUUAU